ACGGGUGAGUAACACGUGGGUAACCUGCCUGUAAGAUUGGGAUAACUCCGGGAAACCGGAGCUAAUACCGGAUAACAUUUUGAACCGCAUGGUUCAAAGUUGAAAGACGGCUUUUAGCUGUCACUUACAGAUGGACCCGCGGCGCAUUAGCUAGUUGGUGAGGUAACGGCUCACCAAGGCGACGAUGCGUAGCCGACCUGAGAGGGUGAUCGGCCACACUGGGACUGAGACACGGCCCAGACUCCUACGGGAGGCAGCAGUAGGGAAUCUUCCGCAAUGGACGAAAGUCUGACGGAGCAACGCCGCGUGAACGAUGAAGGCCUUCGGGUCGUAAAGUUCUGUUGUUAGGGAAGAACAAGUACCAGAGUAACUGCUGGUACCUUGACGGUACCUAACCAGAAAGCCACGGCUAACUACGUGCCAGCAGCCGCGGUAAUACGUAGGUGGCAAGCGUUGUCCGGAAUUAUUGGGCGUAAAGCGCGCGCAGGCGGUUUCUUAAGUCUGAUGUGAAAGCCCACGGCUCAACCGUGGAGGGUCAUUGGAAACUGGGGAACUUGAGUGCAGAAGAGGAGAGUGGAAUUC
RNAcentral lists this ribosomal RNA (582 nucleotides) under uncultured bacterium. RNAcentral describes it as "bacterial SSU rRNA". It matches the Rfam family "Bacterial small subunit ribosomal RNA", at positions 102 to 669 of the family's 1533-position model. The record is from RNAcentral.